ACUCCUAAUGUUGAAGUUGCUUUUGCAACGUAGAUAAGUUGUUUAUUGCAAAAAUAAUUAAGUUGCAUUCCCAUACUACUAACUUUGCUUGUGCAGUAGUUAAUUAAAUUCAUUUUACGUAGUUUUAAGUUGCUUUCAGAACAUAGUUAAAUUGCUUUUCCAUACUAUUAACUUUAAUUUAGCAGAAAUUAAUUAAGUUCAUUUUACGUAGAUUUAAGUUGCUUGCGAAACAUAGAUAAGUUGUUUUCGGCAACAUAGUUAAGUUUGCUUUCCCAUUCUAUUAACCUUAAUUUUGCCGUAGUCAAUUAAGUUCAUUUUAUGUUGAAUGAAGUUGCUUUUGCAACAUAGAUAAUUUUUUCUGGCAACAUAGUUAAGUUGCUUGCAUUAUUCAAUUCAGUUUAAUAUAUCGACUAGUCUGAUUUUUAACACUGAUUGUAGGGGGAGUUAUUUUGCUUUUGUAAUUUCCUUUUUCUCCAUAAGUUAUUGUAUUUUCACCAUAGGUUUCUGCGUCAAAAGGGGGAAUCAGUACCACUGUGUUGGUGUCACCUUGAAGCAACAGGAGAUGUUAUAAGUUAGCUGCGGCUACAGGUGUUGUAGUCCCAUCCGGGAUUUAGUGGACAUGCAACUAAGUUUGCUUCAAAAGGUGUUUUCUUGUUGUAUGAAACCCCGUGAGUUUUCCUAUCCGUCGAAGUUGUGCACCAUCA
This is a long non-coding RNA of Lolium rigidum, 704 nucleotides long. RefSeq lists it as uncharacterized. NCBI's taxonomy places the organism in Eukaryota, Viridiplantae, Streptophyta, Magnoliopsida, Poales, Poaceae. The record is from RefSeq and is a predicted model, not a curated record. The transcript has 2 exons.